This is a long non-coding RNA of Syzygium oleosum, 599 nucleotides long. RefSeq lists it as uncharacterized. The record is from RefSeq and is a predicted model, not a curated record. The transcript has 2 exons. NCBI's taxonomy places the organism in Eukaryota, Viridiplantae, Streptophyta, Magnoliopsida, Myrtales, Myrtaceae.
GACUCAUAUGCUGACAUUUAGCACGCAGCGACGGACUAGCAUAUCAGUUUAGUGGGGUCACUGCGCUGAAGAGUCUAAAAGUUUCUAAGAAUGGUUUCAAAUACCAGCAGAUCAAGUUAGGAUGCAGAUUCUCAAGCCCACGUGCUGUUUGUCCUUCCGAAAGAAGAUUGUUCUGGGAUUGAGUUUCUACAGGCUGCGGACUUUGGCACCCAAUCAUCCAUUCUUGGGUUAGGCAUAGAAGUUGAAGUUACAGAAUUUUCUAUCUGACUCUCUGAUGUACCCACACACUGUGUAGAUCAAACAUUAUCCUCCAUAGCAUUAUCCGCACAAUCAGAAAUUGCCUCGGGAAGGCGAGUUUUUGAGCCCGGGUGCUCAUUCAUCUCUUAUGAUCUCCCUUUGUUUCCUAUAACCUUCUUCCCACCUUGUUCUCCCUCAAUCAUGGGUGCAUCAAGAUUAAAGCCAUCCAACCUGGAUAGCACAAAUGACUGCUAAGUUCCUAGAUUGCAAUCACAAGUCAUGAACGAAUAAGCCCAAAUGUAUACAUUGUGAAGCUGUCUUACUCACUAAAACCAAAGGAGAAAGAAAAUCUUUUCUUGGAA